AUGGCCACCUCCCACUUCCUGGCCGCCGCCGCCGCCGCCGCCACAUCUUCCUCCGCCGCCGCCUUCCGCCCCCCUCUCCGCUUCCUCUCCCUGCCGCCUCCUCUAACCCUCAGCCGGCGGCGGCCGUUCCCGGUGAUCUGCGCGGCCGACGCCGACGCUAAAGAAACAACGAAGCCGAAGGUCCCGGAGAAGGCACCGGCGGCGGGGUCCAGCUUCAACCAGCUGCUCGGAAUCAAGGGCGCCAAGCAAGAAGACAACAUAUGGAAGAUCCGUCUUCAACUUACUAAGCCGGUGACAUGGCCUCCGCUUGUCUGGGGUGUGCUUUGUGGAGCAGCUGCCUCUGGAAAUUUCCACUGGACAGUUGAAGAUGUUGCAAAAUCUAUUGUUUGCAUGUUAAUGUCUGGUCCUUGUCUUACAGGAUACACGCAGACAAUUAAUGACUGGUAUGACCGAGACAUCGACGCUAUUAAUGAGCCUUAUCGUCCUAUUCCUUCAGGAGCUAUAUCAGAAAAUGAGGUAAUUACUCAGAUCUGGGUAUUACUGUUAGCAGGUCUUGGGUUGGGUGCUUUGUUAGACAUAUGGGCAGGGCAUGAUUUUCCUAUUAUUUUCUACCUUGCUCUGGGUGGGUCCUUGCUUUCUUACAUAUAUUCAGCACCGCCUCUCAAGCUCAAGCAGAAUGGAUGGAUAGGAAACUUUGCUCUCGGUGCGAGUUACAUUGGCUUGCCCUGGUGGGCUGGCCAGGCGUUAUUUGGAACUCUUACUCCUGACAUUGUUGUCCUAACUACUUUGUACUCCAUAGCUGGGCUAGGGAUCGCUAUCGUAAAUGAUUUUAAGAGUAUCGAGGGGGAUAGAACUCUGGGACUUCAGUCACUCCCUGUUGCCUUCGGUAUGGAAACUGCAAAAUGGAUAUGUGUUGGAGCAAUUGACAUCACUCAAUUAUCUGUUGCAGCGUACCUCCUGAGCACGGGUAAGCUGUAUUAUGCCCUGGCACUAGUUGGAUUGACAAUUCCCCAGGUGAUCUUACAGUUCCAGUACUUCCUGAAGGACCCCGUGAAGUACGACGUCAAAUACCAGGCGAGUGCGCAACCGUUCUUCGUCUUCGGCCUGCUGGUUACUGCCCUGGCGACCAGCCACUGA
This 1137-nucleotide ribosomal RNA is filed under the name Triticum aestivum (bread wheat). RNAcentral's name for it is "partial small subunit ribosomal RNA". Lineage: Eukaryota; Viridiplantae; Streptophyta; Magnoliopsida; Poales; Poaceae. The record is from RNAcentral.